GAUGAACGCUGGCGGCGUGCUUAACACAUGCAAGUCGAACGGGAAUUAUUUUAUUGAAACUUCGGUCGAUUUAAUUUAAUUCUAGUGGCGGACGGGUGAGUAACGCGUGGGUAACCUGCCUUAUACAGGGGGAUAACAGUCAGAAAUGGCUGCUAAUACCGCAUAAGCGCACAGAGCUGCAUGGCUCAGUGUGAAAAACUCCGGUGGUAUAAGAUGGACCCGCGUUGGAUUAGCUGGUUGGUGGGGUAACGGCCCACCAAGGCGACGAUCCAUAGCCGGCCUGAGAGGGUGAACGGCCACAGUGGGACUGAGACACGGCCCAGACUCCUACGGGAGGCAGCAGUGGGGAAUAUUGCACAAUGGGGGAAACCCUGAUGCAGCGACGCCGCGUGAAGGAAGAAGUAUCUCGGUAUGUAAACCUCUAUCAGCAGGGAAGAUAGUGACGGUACCUGACUAAGAAGCCCCGGCUAACUACGUG
RNAcentral lists this ribosomal RNA (478 nucleotides) under uncultured bacterium. RNAcentral's name for it is "partial 16S ribosomal RNA". It matches the Rfam family "Bacterial small subunit ribosomal RNA", at positions 28 to 507 of the family's 1533-position model. The record is from RNAcentral.